ACUUCCUUUCCGUAUCAACAGGAGGCCAGGGACUGGCUGGACCCCUAGGAGCCAGGUCCUACGGAUAGGUGAGCCGGCCCCCCAGGGCAAACACCUCCACUGGGCAGACCUGACUGCCCAGAGCUGGAUUCUUUACUUGUAAAAGGGGCCAUGAGUGACACAGGCUCGGCCUGCUGUGCCUUGAGGAAAGGAGAGGCUAAAAAUUCUGCCUUCUCUCCUAAAGCCAGCCGGGCUCUUUAUGGUGGGGGAAGGAAGGAUUUGUUUAUUUGCACUCUUCUGAAAUAAAAGUUCUCUAUCCUCCCUCCUGGCUGGAGUUGGGAGGGCCCCAUGGGUGGGCUCUGAGAUGUGGCACACGGUACCCAGGGCAGGGCUGGGAAGGGUGGGGUGCAGGGGCCUCCCUGGCUGCAGGGCCCACCCACCAGGUGCCUGGGCUUGCUGCACUGAGCAGGCAUGGGCUCUGGCCCCCCUCACUGUCCCUUCCAGGCCCAGCCUGUGUUCAGGGCCCAGGACAGGGUCUGGCCAGCAGGCCCCAGGCCUCCAAGAUGUUCUCAGCCUCUGGAGUGUGUGUGAUGAUGAGCACUCAUGGAGCUUCCUGUAUGCUGGGCCCUGGGCUUCUGAGAGGGCCACCGGGUGGCGACUGAGUCACGAGGUGGAGGGCCAGUCCCAGGGACUCCAGGUGACCUCGUGUCGGCACCACGCCCUUCUCCCAUGGGCAGUCCUGGGCGCCCCUUCCUGGCCUUGGGCCCAGUGGCCUGUGGCCUGACCCCGUCCACUCCUGCUUGGUUGU
This 787-nucleotide long non-coding RNA is filed under the name Homo sapiens (human). RNAcentral's name for it is "non-protein coding LINC00896:9". The record is from RNAcentral. Lineage: Eukaryota; Metazoa; Chordata; Mammalia; Primates; Hominidae.